UUGACCUCAAAUCAGGUAGGAUUACCCGCUGAACUUAAGCAUAUCAAUAACGGAAG
Molecule: ribosomal RNA, 56 nt
Filed under: Antrodia wangii
Lineage: Eukaryota; Fungi; Basidiomycota; Agaricomycetes; Polyporales; Fomitopsidaceae
Description: partial 28S ribosomal RNA
Source: RNAcentral